AAAAAAAAUUAAUAUACUGCUUUAACAAGAUACUAAAAACUUUUAGUUUCUUCCUUCGCCGGCUGAGGAUAAUUUGAAGGAUGCAGAACUAGUACCAACAAUUUAACAGAUAGGAAUAUAUAACAGUCAGCAAAGAUGUUAAACUCGAUUUAAGGCUCAGAAAUUAACUCAAUUCCCUCCGCUUCGCGUAGUUCUGACAAUUAAACUUUAACGCCCCAGAAUCAUUACUAAUAGAGGGAAGAGUAAAUUUGGAACUUUCUAAAUAGAUUUACCUCUCCUGAGCGAGUGCAGA
This is a long non-coding RNA of Zophobas morio, 292 nucleotides long. RefSeq lists it as uncharacterized. Lineage: Eukaryota; Metazoa; Arthropoda; Insecta; Coleoptera; Tenebrionidae. The transcript is spliced from 3 exons. The record is from RefSeq and is a predicted model, not a curated record.